RNAcentral lists this ribosomal RNA (468 nucleotides) under uncultured bacterium. Its description in RNAcentral is "partial 16S ribosomal RNA". It matches the Rfam family "Bacterial small subunit ribosomal RNA", at positions 28 to 507 of the family's 1533-position model. The record is from RNAcentral.
GACGAACGCUGGCGGCGUGCUUAACACAUGCAAGUCGAACGGAAAGGCCCUGCUUUUGUGGGGUGCUCGAGUGGCGAAAGGGUGAGUAACACGUGAGUAACCUGCCCUUGACUUUGGGAUAACUUCAGGAAACUGGGGCUAAUACCGGAUAGGAGCUCCUGCUGCAUGGUGGGGGUUGGAAAGUUUCGGCGGUUGGGGAUGGACUCGCGGCUUAUCAGCUUGUUGGUGGGGUAGUGGCUUACCAAGGCUUUGACGGGUAGCCGGCCUGAGAGGGUGACCCGCCACAUUGGGACUGAGAUACGGCCCAGACUCCUACGGGAGGCAGCAGUGGGGAAUAUUGCACAAUGGGCGGAAGCCUGAUGCAGCAACGCCGCGUGCGGGAUGACGGCCUUCGGGUUGUAAACCGCUUUCGCCUGUGACGAAGCGUGAGUGACGGUAAUGGGUAAAGAAGCACCGGCUAACUACGUG